Molecule: ribosomal RNA, 489 nt
Filed under: Cladosporium uredinicola
Lineage: Eukaryota; Fungi; Ascomycota; Dothideomycetes; Cladosporiales; Cladosporiaceae
Description: eukaryotic LSU rRNA
Rfam family: 5.8S ribosomal RNA (bases 134-287)
Source: RNAcentral
GGGAUGUUCAUAACCCUUUGUUGUCCGACUCUGUUGCCUCCGGGGCGACCCUGCCUUCGGGCGGGGGCUCCGGGUGGACACUUCAAACUCUUGCGUAACUUUGCAGUCUGAGUAAACUUAAUUAAUAAAUUAAAACUUUUAACAACGGAUCUCUUGGUUCUGGCAUCGAUGAAGAACGCAGCGAAAUGCGAUAAGUAAUGUGAAUUGCAGAAUUCAGUGAAUCAUCGAAUCUUUGAACGCACAUUGCGCCCCCUGGUAUUCCGGGGGGCAUGCCUGUUCGAGCGUCAUUUCACCACUCAAGCCUCGCUUGGUAUUGGGCAACGCGGUCCGCCGCGUGCCUCAAAUCGACCGGCUGGGUCUUCUGUCCCCUAAGCGUUGUGGAAACUAUUCGCUAAAGGGUGUUCGGGAGGCUACGCCGUAAAACAACCCCAUUUCUAAGGUUGACCUCGGAUCAGGUAGGGAUACCCGCUGAACUUAAGCAUAUCAAUA